AAGCGCUUGACACCCUUUAAAAAAAUGUAUUUAAAGAGGCUGGUUCCUAUCCAUCCGACUGGAGGCAUCUCAGUGCAAGAGCAAAGCUAAGUCCUGCACACGCUCCUCCCCUCCUCCUCCUCCUUCUCCCCCCAGGUUUUCCCGAAUGUAUCUACUCCGGUUACAACUAGACGCGGCCCCUCCCCCACCUGCCUCCCCCCUUCCUUCCCUCGAUCGUGGAGGGAGCGUUCUCUGUGCCUUCCCAAGUCCCCGUGGGGGACCUUCUAUGUUGGAGUGGGGGGAGGGGGGGAGGGUCAUAUAACGAAGGCCAGAAAGAACAAAUUAGAUAAUCAAAAGAAUUAUAGUAAUUGCUUUCACUUUCCCCCGCCCGCUCAGCGGAUUCCCUCCCCCGCCCCUCCCCUGGUUUUUCUGUCUGUCGGGAAUACUCGGUCUUUCCGACCCCCUCCCCUCCCCCAGGUUCCUCCUCUCCUCUCCCCUUGCUCGCGCGUUCCCUCUCUUCCUCCGUUUUCUGGUGUGCUGGAACGUUCAGCGGAAUAUGAUGAAUGAUCACCUGUCACAGCUUGUUUAUUAUAAUGCAGGCAAUCAAUUACACAUCCCCAAUGCUGGCCGGCCCGCAGGAAAUUUAUAUGCUCAGCACAAACCAAUGUGAAAAUGGAAUCUCAUUUGCCAAAUGUCUUUCUCCCCGUACAGCACGAUGAUUACAGUCUGUGUUUGUUUCAACAGUCGUGUACAACUGACAGUGCCAUCAUUUACUGCCUGGCUCAGGUCACGUUACUCUAAGGCUUUAUUUAUGGUGUUACGAAGGGCAGCACAGGAAAAGGACAAGGGUGUCUGUCAGGGAUGGCACUGUGUUAAAAAGUGGGCGUGCAAGGGCCGCAUUCCCGGGCAGCCGCUGCAACCUCAGCCCCUGGGCCCUUACCUCCGCAGCCUCUCCCAGCAUCCAGCUACCCAGACUCCAAGGCCCCAGGCGAGAGCCAGCUCUCGGUACCUGGAGCUCCACAGGUCCCAGAAUCGGGGUGGAUCAGAGUUCAAAUUCUGGUUCUGCUACUGUCUAAUUGCGUGCUGCAGGGACUCAAUCUCUUCAUCUGGGAAAUGGGAGUAAUAACCCUUGGCAGGAAUGUUGCGAUCCUCUGGGAUGUCAGAGGUGUUGAUGAAUGUUAGUUCCCGGGACUUCGGAAAGAGGUCCCGUUGGAAGAGAUGUGAAUUGGAAUUCACACCCUAUAUUAAAAUCUCCUCCAAUCUUCACCUCUGAGACAUGGCUGUCUCAAGACUGUUUUGUUUCCCUUCCUGGUGGAAUUUUGCACUUUUAUGUCCUGUGUAGCAGCAGGUAGUGUGGCUUUGAGAAAAUAAAAUGGCCACCUUGCUCCGCUGUUCUUUCUUUGUAAAAAAAAAAAAAAAAAAAAAAAAACGGCAUAGCAAUCUUGGCCUUUCUAGCUGUGUGACCCCAGGCCGGUCAAUCCCUCCUCCUCUCCAAGCCUCGGAUUCCUCCCCUGAGAAGUAAAGAAAAUAACUCCUAAACUGCCUCCCGAGGCUUGCUGGCAGGAUCCAAGGUGUCCAGAGAUGUU
RNAcentral lists this long non-coding RNA (1565 nucleotides) under Homo sapiens (human). RNAcentral's name for it is "non-protein coding lnc-MAP1LC3B2-28:10". Lineage: Eukaryota; Metazoa; Chordata; Mammalia; Primates; Hominidae. The record is from RNAcentral.